This 492-nucleotide ribosomal RNA is filed under the name uncultured bacterium. Its description in RNAcentral is "partial 16S ribosomal RNA". It matches the Rfam family "Bacterial small subunit ribosomal RNA", at positions 28 to 507 of the family's 1533-position model. The record is from RNAcentral.
GAUGAACGCUAGCUACAGGCUUAACACAUGCAAGUCGAGGGGAAACGACAUCGAAAGCUUGCUUUUGAUGGGCGUCGACCGGCGCACGGGUGAGUAACGCGUAUCCAACCUGCCCACCACUUGGGGAUAACCUUGCGAAAGUAAGACUAAUACCCAAUGAUAUCUCUAGAAGACAUCUGAAAGAGAUUAAAGAUUUAUCGGUGAUGGAUGGGGAUGCGUCUGAUUAGCUUGUUGGCGGGGUAACGGCCCACCAAGGCAACGAUCAGUAGGGGUUCUGAGAGGAAGGUCCCCCACAUUGGAACUGAGACACGGUCCAAACUCCUACGGGAGGCAGCAGUGAGGAAUAUUGGUCAAUGGACGAGAGUCUGAACCAGCCAAGUAGCGUGCAGGAAGACGGUCCUAUGGGUUGUAAACUGCUUUUAUAAGGGAAUAAAGUGAGUCUCGUGAGACUUUUUGCAUGUACCUUAUGAAUAAGGACCGGCUAAUUCCGUG